Molecule: ribosomal RNA, 230 nt
Filed under: uncultured bacterium
Lineage: Bacteria
Description: partial 16S ribosomal RNA
Rfam family: Bacterial small subunit ribosomal RNA
Source: RNAcentral
CGGACGGGUGAGUAAUGUCUGGGAAACUGCCCGAUGGAGGGGAUAACUACUGGAACGGUAGCUAAUACCGCAUAACGUCGCAAGACCAAAGAGGGGGACCUUCGGGCCUCUUGCCAUCGGAUGUGCCCAGAUGGGAUUAGCUAGUAGGUGGGGUAACGGCUCACCUAGGCGACGAUCCCUAGCUGGUCUGAGAGGAUGACCAGCCACACUGGAACUGAGACACGGUCCAG